Molecule: ribosomal RNA, 465 nt
Filed under: uncultured bacterium
Lineage: Bacteria
Description: partial 16S ribosomal RNA
Rfam family: Bacterial small subunit ribosomal RNA
Source: RNAcentral
GAUGAAUGCUGGCGGCGUGCUUAACACAUGCCAGUCGAACGGAAAGGCUCCUGCUUGCAGGGGUACUCGAGUGGCGAACGGGUGAGUAACACGUGGGUGAUCUGCCCUGCACUUCGGGAUAAGCCUGGGAAACUGGGUCUAAUACCGGAUAGGACGAUGGUUUGGAUGCCAUUGUGGAAAGUUUUUCGGUGUGGGAUGAGCUCGCGGCCUAUCAGCUUGUUGGUGGGGUAAUGGCCUACCAAGGCGUCGACGGGUAGCCGGCCUGAGAGGGUGUACGGCCACAUUGGGACUGAGAUACGGCCCAGACUCCUACGGGAGGCAGCAGUGGGGAAUAUUGCACAAUGGGCGCAAGCCUGAUGCAGCGACGCCGCGUGGGGGAUGACGGCCUUCGGGUUGUAAACUCCUUUCGCUAGGGACGAAGCGCAAGUGACGGUACCUGGAGAAGAAGCACCGGCUAACUACGUG